UAAGCGGAGGAAAAGAAACUANCAAGGAUUCCCCUAGUAACUGCGAGUGAAGCGGGAAAAGCUCAAAUUUAAAAUCUGGUGGUCUUUGGCCAUNCGAGUUGUAAUUUAGAGAAGCGUCUUCCGCGCUGGGCCGUGCACAAGUCUCCUGGAAUGGAGCGUCACAGAGGGUGAGAAUCCCGUCUUUGGCAUGGACACACCAGGGCUUUUGUGAUGCGCUCUCGAAGAGUCGAGUUGUUUGGGAAUGCAGCUCAAAAUGGGUGGUGAACUCCAUCUAAAGCUAAAUAUUGGCGAGAGACCGAUAGCGAACAAGUACCGUGAGGGAAAGAUGAAAAGCACUUUGGAAAGAGAGUGAAACAGUACGUGAAAUUGUUGAAAGGGAAGCGCUUGAAGUCAGUCGCGUCGACCGAGACUCAGCCUUGUCUUGGCCUGGUGUACUUCUCGGCCGACGGGUCAGCAUCAAUUUUGCCCCUUGGAUAAUGAUGAGGGAAACGUGACACCUUUAUGGUGUGUUAUAGUCUCUUGUCGCAUGCAAGGGUCGGGAUUGAGGAACUCAGCACGCACCUUUGGGUGUCNGGCUUUGCCCACGAUACGUGCUUAGGAUGUUGGCGUAAUGGCUUUAAACGACC
RNAcentral lists this ribosomal RNA (626 nucleotides) under uncultured Russulaceae. Its description in RNAcentral is "LSU rRNA". It matches the Rfam family "Eukaryotic large subunit ribosomal RNA", at positions 47 to 649 of the family's 3401-position model. The record is from RNAcentral. Lineage: Eukaryota; Fungi; Basidiomycota; Agaricomycetes; Russulales; Russulaceae.